Molecule: ribosomal RNA, 492 nt
Filed under: uncultured bacterium
Lineage: Bacteria
Description: partial 16S ribosomal RNA
Rfam family: Bacterial small subunit ribosomal RNA
Source: RNAcentral
AGUGAACGCUGGCGGUAGGCCUAACACAUGCAAGUCGAACGGAAGCACAGUAAGAGCUUGCUCUUACGGGUGGCGAGUGGCGGACGGGUGAGGCAUACAUCGGAAUCUACUUUUUCGUGGGGGAUAACGUAGGGAAACUUACGCUAAUACCGCAUACGACCUACGGGUGAAAGCAGGGGAUCUUCGGACUUUGCGCGACUGAAUGAGCCGAUGUCGGAUUAGCUAGUUGGCAGGGUAAAGGCCCACCAAGGCGACGAUCCGUAGCAGGUCUGAGAGGAUGAUCGGCCAAACGGGAAAUGAGACACGGUCCAGACUCCUACGGGAGGCAGCAGUAGGGAAUGUUGCGCAAUGGGCGAAAGCUUGACGGAGCAACGCCGCGUGAGUGAUGAAGGUCUUCGGAUCGUAAAAAUCUGUUAUUAGGGAAGAAAAAAUGUGUAAGUAACUAUGCACGUCUUGACGGUACCUAAUAAGAAAGCCACGGCUAACUACGUG